AGCAGCCGCCGCGGGAAUACGGAGGGAGCUAGCGUUGUUCGGAAUCACUGGGCGUAAAGCGCACGUAGGCGGCUAUUCAAGUCAGGGGUGAAAGCCCGGGGCUCAACCCCGGAACUGCCUUUGAAACUAGAUAGCUUGAAUCUUGGAGAGGCGAGUGGAAUUCCGAGUGUAGAGGUGAAAUUCGUAGAUAUUCGGAAGAACACCAGUGGCGAAGGCGACUCGCUGGACAAGCAUUGACGCUGAGGUGCGAAAGCGUGGGGAGCAAACAGGAUUAGAUACCCGAGUAGUCCCUGUCUCUUAUAC
This 303-nucleotide ribosomal RNA is filed under the name uncultured bacterium. RNAcentral describes it as "partial 16S ribosomal RNA". It matches the Rfam family "Bacterial small subunit ribosomal RNA", at positions 507 to 807 of the family's 1533-position model. The record is from RNAcentral.